AAAAACUUAUAUAACACAAGAGAACUUACGGCACCAGUGGUGCCUACAAAGAAACAGCAAGAAAGAACCAAAAAACAGCAGAAAAGAUGUACAACUACGUAGAAUCAAACAAAAUCAAACAACUCCAAAACAUGAACUUGGAGCUCCAAAACAUGAACUUGGAGGAGCACAAAGCAACGGAAGAGGAAAUGGUCUGAUCUCCCAUCCCCAAACGUGAUCUCCCAUCCCCAAACGCUCCCAAAAAUCUCAGCCACGGUCGGACAGAUUGACCGCUGCAAACCACUGCCUAAAGACCAUUGCCGAAGAAAUGGAGGUAAAAGCCGUCCUC
Molecule: long non-coding RNA, 328 nt
Filed under: Salvia miltiorrhiza (redroot sage)
Lineage: Eukaryota; Viridiplantae; Streptophyta; Magnoliopsida; Lamiales; Lamiaceae
Description: long non-coding RNA (SMIL_LNC002035)
Source: RNAcentral